RNAcentral lists this ribosomal RNA (492 nucleotides) under uncultured bacterium. RNAcentral's name for it is "partial 16S ribosomal RNA". It matches the Rfam family "Bacterial small subunit ribosomal RNA", at positions 29 to 523 of the family's 1533-position model. The record is from RNAcentral.
AUUGAACGCUGGCGGCAUGCUUUACACAUGCAAGUCGAACGGUAACAGGUUAAGCUGACGAGUGGCGAACGGGUGAGUAAUGCAUCGGAACGUGCCCGGUCGUGGGGAUAACGCAGCGAAAGCUGCGCUAAUACCGCAUACGAUCUGAGGAUGAAAGCGGGGGACCGUAAGGCCUCGCGCGAUCGGAGCGGCCGAUGUCAGAUUAGGUAGUUGGUGGGGUAAAGGCUCACCAAGCCAACGAUCUGUAGCUGGUCUGAGAGGACGACCAGCCACACGGGGACUGAGACACGGCCCAGACUCCGACGGGAGGCAGCAGUGGGGAAUUUUGGACAAUGGGCGAAGGCCUGAUCCAGCAAUGCCGCGUGCAGGAAGAAGGCCUUCGGGUUGUAAACUGCUUUUGUACGGAGCGAAAAGGUCUCCUCUAAUACAGGGGGCUCAUGACGGUACCGUAAGAAUAAGCACCAGCUAACUACGUGCCAGCCGCCGCCGUAA